AUCGAGAUGACGAGUCCCACAUUGGGACGAAAUGCGCGUCCUAGAU
RNAcentral lists this non-coding RNA (46 nucleotides) under Trichobilharzia regenti. The record is from RNAcentral. Lineage: Eukaryota; Metazoa; Platyhelminthes; Trematoda; Strigeidida; Schistosomatidae.